UCCUAAAUUAAAAAGAAAGCAUUCUAUUGUUUCCUUCUUCCCUUCACUGUUAUACGCUCAUUUUCAAUUAGAUAUUUACAAGAAAAAAGAAGCAUUUUUCCCUUUUUUUUCAUACUUUUAGCUACACAUUCAUAAUUAUAAUGCCAUGUUGUAUCCUGUAUGGCAACUGAUGAAUCAAAUACUCGAGACAAAUUUGUUAAUCUUCAUGUGGCAACUUUAUGUAAUAUUUUGCACGAAAUAACUAAUAAAAAAUUGUAGACGUUGUUAGUGUCUCCUCUCAUUUUAAUCGAAAAGUUUACUUACUUUUGAGCAAGUAAAGUCCAGUGACAGAUGAUCAAGAUAAACAGUAAUUACAAGAGAGACUUAUCCAUCUUUUAUAAUCCAUUGCUCCACAAGUAUAUAAACUCUCACAGGUCUAAGUAUUGAAAUUCCAUCUCAAUAUAAGAUAAAGAUAAGCGUCCAGGGAAACGUCGCCCUGGAC
This 481-nucleotide long non-coding RNA is filed under the name Olea europaea (common olive). RNAcentral's name for it is "long non-coding RNA (OEUR_LNC005186)". Lineage: Eukaryota; Viridiplantae; Streptophyta; Magnoliopsida; Lamiales; Oleaceae. The record is from RNAcentral.